CUUCCAAGGCUAGUGACCAACCCAGCACUGUGGAGCAAGGACAUCUUGAACAACUCUCCUACCACGAGAGCGUUUUGACAUCCCAGAGUGGCGAUCACACCUACAGCCCGCCCACCCGCUUUAGUCCCCUGCCUUGCUACGUAGGAAGGAGCACGCCCAGGCUGGAGGCCCCAGAGCACCUUGGGAAGAGGGGAGUAGGGCUGAGACUCAUGCUCCCACCUUCGCUGCUGAGUUUUGCCCUACACUCCUUCUUGAGGUGACCCCAAGAUCCAGCUAAUUGUUUUCCCCAAAGUGCCUGACCUGCGUGAGACUUAGAGGUCUAGAUAUGUCACAACCAAUCUCCAUGUUCCCCCAAAGGACUGUUAUUCUCGAGCCCUGUAUAAAUCUCUGUCCACAUGUGACCAGGGGGUCAGUCCUCUCUUCAUUCGGUCUUGGAAAAAAAAAGAACUAAAAUUUGAUGGCCAUCAAAACCGAACCCCUGUCAUUUCUUAAAUAUGGGACUUGGAAGCAUAUUCCUAAGUGUCUGAGUCUC
Molecule: long non-coding RNA, 532 nt
Filed under: Mus spicilegus (steppe mouse)
Lineage: Eukaryota; Metazoa; Chordata; Mammalia; Rodentia; Muridae
Description: lncRNA (ENSMSIG00000012775.1)
Source: RNAcentral